AAAAAAACACCGAAAGUGUUUUAUGAAGAACAUCAAUGUUGACUGAGAUAGAUUACCAUCCAAUUAAUACAUAUAAGCAUUGAAAAUCUUGCAGUUGCGGAAAGAAGUUAUUACCUUUUCAACCAUCAACACCUCAAUAAUAAAUUACGCAACACCGUUCAUAUUAGGCCAUAUGAAAUGACGUUUUCAUAUUCCAAUUAAUGUGUAUCUUGAGUUUGCCUCUUCAAAUAAGCAUUCUCAAAUAUGAUAAAUAACCAUUAACACGCGGUUUUGAUUUGUCUUUGCAGGUUGACUUCGGUAUCCCCGUAU
RNAcentral lists this unclassified non-coding RNA (309 nucleotides) under Hevea brasiliensis (rubber tree). Lineage: Eukaryota; Viridiplantae; Streptophyta; Magnoliopsida; Malpighiales; Euphorbiaceae. The record is from RNAcentral.